AAAAAGAUGAUGAGAACUAAAUAUUAUACAAGAAGAAAGAGAAAAAGCAAGAAAAAAAAAAAAAAAAAAAAAAAAAACUGAAACUUGAAAUAAAGUGGCGAAAGAUAUUUCAAAUUUCUUUAUACAAUAUUUUUCUUUUUUCUUUUUCCUUUUAGAAGAUAUAAUCUUAAUUAUAUUUUAUAAAAUAAAUUAAAAAAAAAAUAUAAUUGUAAAAUCUUCUUAACAAGAACAAAUAUAAAAUAUUUGUAUUCCUAUUAUUUCAUUAGAUGAAAUAAUAAUUUACAAACUUGAUAAAAUAAAAAUAAUAAAAAAAUAAAAUAUAUCUUUAUGAAUAUUAGAGAUAAUUUUUAUAUAUUUUAUUUUUUUUUUAUUUAUCAAAACAACAAAAGGAAAAAAAAAAAAGGAAAAUACAAAUAUAUAAAUAUAUAUAUAUAUAUAUAUAUAUAUGUAUAUACAUAUUUGUCAAUUGGACAAAAUUGUUUGCUCCUUAGACAAUAUGAAUUUUUUUUUUCUUUUUUUUUGCUUCUUCUCAUUUCUACUAUCAUGAUUGAAGAAUAAAACAAUCUUUGGUAAUCUGAUUUUUAAUGA
This is a non-coding RNA of Plasmodium adleri (nom. inval.), 588 nucleotides long. The record is from RefSeq and is a predicted model, not a curated record. NCBI's taxonomy places the organism in Eukaryota, Apicomplexa, Aconoidasida, Haemosporida, Plasmodiidae.